GGAGUUGGACGAGCCGUCGCCGCGAACCUUUCGGUUCGGGGAGGAAAGUCCGGGCUCCGCAGGGCAGGACGCUGGGUAACCCCCAGGGGGAGCGAUCCCCGGAUAGCGCCACAGAAAGCAGACCGCCCCGCGAGGGGUAAGGGUGAAACGGUGGGGUAAGAGCCCACCAGCGGCCGCGGCGACGCGGCCGGCUCGGCAAGCCCCGUCCGGAGAAAGGCCAAAUAGGAACGCGCUCGAGGCUGGCCCGGCCGAAGCGUUCGGGUAGGCUGCUUGAGGCACGGAGCAAUCCGCACCCUAGAGGAAUGGCGGCAUAGAACAGAACCCGGCUUACUGUCCGACUCCAGGA
Molecule: RNase P RNA, 346 nt
Filed under: Alkalidesulfovibrio alkalitolerans DSM 16529
Lineage: Bacteria; Pseudomonadati; Thermodesulfobacteriota; Desulfovibrionia; Desulfovibrionales; Desulfovibrionaceae
Description: Desulfovibrio alkalitolerans DSM 16529 Bacterial RNase P class A
Rfam family: Bacterial RNase P class A
About the family: Ribonuclease P (RNase P) is a ubiquitous endoribonuclease, found in archaea, bacteria and eukarya as well as chloroplasts and mitochondria.
Source: Rfam by way of RNAcentral